This 253-nucleotide ribosomal RNA is filed under the name uncultured bacterium. RNAcentral describes it as "partial 16S ribosomal RNA". It matches the Rfam family "Bacterial small subunit ribosomal RNA", at positions 524 to 776 of the family's 1533-position model. The record is from RNAcentral.
UACGAAGGGGGCUAGCGUCGCUCGGAAUCACUGGGCGUAAAGCGCACGUAGGCGGCUUUUUAAGUCAGGGGUGAAAUCCUGGAGCUCAACUCCAGAACUGCCUUUGAUACUGGGAAGCUUGAGUCCGGAAGAGGUGAGUGGAACUCCGAGUGUAGAGGUGAAAUUCGUAGAUAUUCGGAAGAACACCAGUGGCGAAGGCGGCUCACUGGUCCGGUACUGACGCUGAGGUGCGAAAGCGUGGGGAGCAAACAGG